Molecule: long non-coding RNA, 983 nt
Organism: Lucilia sericata (common green bottle fly)
Lineage: Eukaryota; Metazoa; Arthropoda; Insecta; Diptera; Calliphoridae
Exons: 4
Source: RefSeq, a predicted model, not a curated record
AUAAACAUUGAACAACUAAGAAAACAAACAAAAGCGAAACAACACAAUUCAACAUGCAAAGACCAAAAUUCCAUUUACACAAUUCAACAACAAAAGAAAAACCACGCACAGGAACAUUCAACUCAACAAAACUCAAAACGACACCACAAAAACCUUCCACACACAAGAAUCUACAAAAAAAAAACAACAUGCAACCAGCACACCAGGGACCAAGAAGACCGCCCAGAUUCCCAAUCUACCUCAACAUGUAUGGUAAUGCUGUUGAGAGUAUGAGUACCUAAAAAUGUGAGCAUAAAAAUAAACGUUCUCAAAAUAAAAUAAAGUCUAUUUUUACAAGCGCAUUCUACGACUUCAAAAAUAUGCCAAUUUGUAUGGAAAGCUCUAUGCCCCAGUUCUGUUUCAUCAUUUAGUUUAUUUUUAUUCCACACAAGGCACAUCAGGUGCCUGCAAGUGAAGUUGCUUCACGACAAGGCAGCUUCUCAUUUGCUAUGUCGCAAGUUCACUACUGACCUCCUGGAUGUGUGUCUCAUCCAGGUACCCUGGCUUAACUCGGGGGUAAUUAGAGGCCUCCAAACCGACCAAGAAUUCCUACAGGGAGAUCUGGUAGCCGUACUGAUCAGGCUGCCAUCACUGACUGGGGAACCUGAAAUUGUCCUCGGCAUACUUACUAGGCGAUGUCGAUGCCUGAGGUGUCUAGACUGGUUGCCUUUUGCCAACAGCGCAACCUUGGGUGGAUAAUAGGCUGUGAUGCAAAUGUCCACCACGAAAUGUCAACAAACGUGGUGUAUGGAACGGAAGAGUUAUCAAGUUAAAACAUGAAGAUUACGGUUUUCCCGUUUGUAUGGAGUAAUAAUAAGGUACUGAUGUUCCCACGAAUAUUAAACUUUUGUUCAUUCUAAGAUACCAUUUCUCAAAAUUAUUGUCGAAUAAUAUACAUACAUAUGUAUCAACAAUACUAAUUCACGAGUUAUCGAAUUAAAAAA